GAUGAACGCUGGCGGCGUGCUUAACACAUGCAAGUCGAACGGAAAGGCUCCUGCUUGCAGGGGUACUCGAGUGGCGAACGGGUGAGUAACACGUGGGUGAUCUGCCCUGCACUUCGGGAUAAGCCUGGGAAACUGGGUCUAAUACCGGAUAGGACGAUGGUUUGGAUGCCAUUGUGGAAAGUUUUUUCGGUGUGGGAUGAGCUCGCGGCCUAUCAGCUUGUUGGUGGGGUAAUGGCCUACCAAGGCGUCGACGGGUAGCCGGCCUGAGAGGGUGUACGGCCACAUUGGGACUGAGAUGCGGCCCAGACUCCUACGGGAGGCAGCAGUGGGGAAUAUUGCACAAUGGGCGCAAGCCUGAUGCAGCGACGCCGCGUGGGGGAUGACGGCCUUCGGGUUGUAAACUCCUUUCGCUAGGGACGAAGCGCAAGUGACGGUACCUGGAGAAGAAGCACCGGCUAACUACGUG
This 466-nucleotide ribosomal RNA is filed under the name uncultured bacterium. RNAcentral describes it as "partial 16S ribosomal RNA". It matches the Rfam family "Bacterial small subunit ribosomal RNA", at positions 28 to 507 of the family's 1533-position model. The record is from RNAcentral.